Molecule: non-coding RNA, 4415 nt
Organism: Monodelphis domestica (gray short-tailed opossum)
Lineage: Eukaryota; Metazoa; Chordata; Mammalia; Didelphimorphia; Didelphidae
Source: the annotation of a RefSeq genome assembly
GGACUGAGAAAAGACUCACAACAAUCGUUCCCUGCAGCCCUCAACUCCAGGCUUUGUAAUUCAGCAUUUGGCGAGUCUUGAGUAGAAGGAAAAAGGAUGUGACUGAAAGAAUGUUUCCUAUGGGGAAGAAAUGGUGUGUGUGAUGGAGGAAGAAGGACCAGCCCAGAUCUUCCUCCUAUUCAGCUCUCCAAGUCAAAUCCCCGGUGCCGGACACUUAGCUCUAUAGACGCCAGAGGGAGCCCUCUCCUCUCAUGUGCCAGGACUCCGAAGAUUAACUAGCUCAGACUGUGAAGCCCAGGAAUUUGGUUCUUUGGAUACCUAAGCACACACCCAAUCUGCUUUGCAUAUUCCUUCCAAUAGCUCCCUCCAGCUCAGAAAUUGGAUAAAGGGCAUUGCAGCUUCUGGGGUUUCUGCUAAUCUUCCAGCAGCUUUGAAGAUGGUGUCCCCCACACAACUCCUGGGCUUGUUAGUACUCUGGAUCCCUGGUUCUCAAGGACAGAUUGUGGUGACUCAGUCUCCAUCUUUAGUGACUGUAUUUCUGGGGGAGACUGUCAAUAUAAAUUGUAGAACCAGUAAGAGUGUGACUCAGGAGGGAGGUUAUCAUUCCCUCCAUUGGUAUCAACAGAAGCCAGGACAAGGACCUAAACUGAUCAUGCACGGGGCAUUUAAUCCCGUCCCUGGCCUCUCACCCAGGUUCAUAGGCUCUGAUGACACUUUCUUAGGAGAUGAUUUCACUCUCACAAUACGCAGUGUGGAAACUGAAGAUGCUGCAGAUUAUUAUUGCCAGCAAGGCUAUAGCCGCCUUUACCACAUUGUUUCAGCCUUGAACAAAAAGCCCCCUAAAUCAACUCGUUUGCUGUCCUACCUGCUUCCCUUUCCUCCUUCAGCGGCAGCUGCAGGACCACUCAAGGGCAAAGUAUGUGGAUGUCUUUUAGAAGCUCCUGCAGAUUCAAGACUUGCCAACUUCAAGACUUGCCCUUCAAAGUUGUUAUUGUUGUGUGCCUUUUAAUGUUGUAGCCAUUGGAACUCUAAUCCUAAUCCUAAAUCCAUGCUCUUCCUCAUUCUUAGCCAAUGAGGGCAGAGCCAAAUCUGAUUAUCCUAAAAUUAGUUUUUUCCUUCCUUCCUUUCUUUCUUCCUUUUUUCCUUCCUUUCCUUUCUUCCUUCCUUCCACCCUUCCUUCCUUCCACUCUUUCACUCUUCCUUCCACUCUUUUUUCUUUCUUCUAUUCUUUCUUCUAUUUUCUUCCAGUCUUUUUCUUCUAGUCUUCCUUCCUUCCUUUCUCUCCCUCUCUCUUUCUUUCUUUCUCCAUUACUUUCUGACCUAGAAUCAACAUUACGUUUCUGUUCCAAAGCGGAAGAGCAGUGAGAGCUAAGCAAUGGGGGUUAAAUGCCUUUCUCUGGGUUACCCACCUAGGAAGUAUCUGAAUCCAAAUUUGAAUCCAGGACCUCCUAUUUCUAAUCAUGGUUCUCAAUUUACCUAGUCACCUAGCUGACCCAGAUCAGUUUUCUUGUACAGGUCCUCUCAUUUUAGUCUGGAUGACCAUACUGAUUUGAAUAGGUUGGCUCAAUCUCUGGUUUCUCUCUCAGACUCAUGAUAGGCCAGGGCAGAUUCUAGCCUUAGCCAGUUUCUUCUUCUCCUUGUAAUAGCCCUAACUAGGAAUUUGUUCUGUCUUUCACUGUGGCAAUGAAGAGCCUUUAGAGAUUGUCAGAAAUCACACUAGUCUCCUACACACCUCCACCACCACCCAUUGUCCUAAGGUACAAAUAUUAUGUUAGUCCUAUCUUCUGCUGUGACUCCCAGUGGUCUGAUGAGUGCUUGGCCAGGCCCUGUCUCCUCUUAUAAUAAGCUAUGGAUUCCAGUUCUAUUCCCCACUUUUGUUCUGGUGGGCUAGGGUUGAGAUCUAACUCUAGAUUCACAAAUAAUGAGCUCAUUCUGGUUUGCAACCCCUAUCCCAUUCAGAACCAUGGUCAGCUCCAGGUAUCUUUGGAGGCUUCUUAUUUGCAGAUCCUUCUACCUGCCUCUUCAUUUCCCUUUUCACCAGAACUCCUGUGCAGUUCGGGACUAGAUGGAGGGACUUGUUUCUUUUGUAUUUUCUUUAUCAUUAGUCUUCUUAUAAUCUUUUUCAGAUAUUUGCUGGAAGAAUUGGUUUUCUCUGUGACCUUUUGUUAUCAUCUUAAGGUGUCAUAAGAUUGUACUAAAGAGUUGUUAUUAUAACCUAGUGCUGUCCUUGGCUGCCUUCUCCAUCCUUGUAAAAAGAUUCCAAAUUUUCUUCCUAAGGUGGUACUGAGGCUCUUUGAAUCUCCUUCUUACAUAAGUUCAUUCUCUUUAGGAGAUGCUGACAUUCUUUGUUCAUAUGUUCCUUUAUCCAUUUUUUCCCUUUUUUUAUGUCAAGUCAGUUAAUUUUUUUUUUCAAAUUUGAUGUCAUUGUCCCAUUUUUAUUUCUUAAAUUUGGAAUUGAUUUGAUUUUUGCUUUAACAGAGUUGAUGGUCUUAUCAACAAAUAGCUGAUUCCAAAUGACUCAUGCAUUGGUAACCAGUCAUUUCGAGACUAUCAUUUUUUUGUAGCUUUAUUUAGUGUUUUGCAUUGCUAGUGCCUACAAACACCUUUUUUGAAGAAAGUAUUUUCAGAACAUAGGUAAUAAAACUGCUCUACAAAUAAGCCUUUGGCUUCCUUGGCUUCCUAAUCCCAUGCCAUAUUUUCUACCAUUCUCUCUUAUACUGAAGUUACCUAGUAUUGAAGUUGGAGAGGGAAAUGGCCAACCAUUCCAGUAUCUUUGCCAAGAAAACCCAAAAUGGCGUCACAUUAAAGUAUAUAUUGGCUUAACUUGGAGCAUCUUAUUGAGUUCUUCAUAGAAUUUUUCUCUCAUAAUCUCAUAUAAUAAAUGUUGGCCCAGAAGCUGCAAUUAUCUUUGUUAGUCUUUUUUUACAUAAAUGUGUAUAUAUUAAACAGUUUUACUUUGUACCAUAUACCACAGCAAAUUCUCCCAAUGAUUAUCCAUUUUCCUUAAAGUUUCCUCAGAGGGGAGAGAGAAGCUUUAAGGUAGGAAGAUAGAGAAAGGAUAGAAGUUUAAGAUACCACGAGGGGGAUGACGGAGUCGAAGUAGAGAUAUGAGGUGGCAGGAAUGAGUCUUUAUUAAUUACCAAUGAGUCACAGCCAAGCUCUGAUCAAAGCGCCCUUCCGAAGGCUUUUACCAGUCCAGAGAUCCAGAUUCAAUACCACACAGGUCAGAGAGAUGAUAGAGAAAGAUUAGAGAUGGAGCCUGGCCAAAGGCCAAAGGCCAGGCUCCAGCAAGGACAGGCAUCAGUGCAAGCUGGAAAAGAGGAAGAGCAGAAGAGAGAAAGGCGGAGCUGGCUGAGGCAUACUUAAUCUUUUUGAUAUGCAAAUAUACACAGUACACAGGGAUGAUCAUCAUUGGUUAAUGACAAGGUAUAGGUGUGGUUUCUCUCAACCAGGUGAGCAAAAAGAAACCUGUGUUCCUGCCUAACCUGGGAGAAGCUGGGGUCAAGGGUCAUAGGUUUUCCCAGCCAUGUGCAAUACUGAGCAUGCUUUUAAGGCAAUCUGUACAUACCAACUGUUCCCCUUGCCCAUAGCUAGGGGUGGACUGCUACAUUCCUCAUCAACAUUUAAUAAGUAUCCAUAAUUUUCCUCUUCAAUUUCAUGAGGUUUAUUGUAUUUUAAUAUUGUAUUUUAAAAAUAUUUAAACAUCAAAAUCACAUAAAGAGGACAUCUAACAAAUCAUAACUUGUUCCCUUUUUGCCUUUGGUUUUUCCCCACACUAUUUGCUGGGGGUUUUUUCAAAUGUAUAUCCUUGGUUUUUUUGUCAUUGUGUUUGGGGUCUUCUCUAUUUUUCUUAAGUUAUAAUAAUUAUUUUCCAAUAUUUCAUAUAGAUCUUUCAAAAUUUCUUUAGAGUUCUCAACCUUUAUUUAGUAAUCUAGAACUUUCCUAUGCUACAUAUUACUCAACCAUUCUGUGAUUAUAAUACAUUCUAAUUAUUCCAUUGUCUUUUUUCAAAAAAACAGAUAUUUAACUUUUUCCUCUAUAAAAUACUUUCUGGUAUUAUUGAGUACAAGGUAUGGUUUUUCAUAACUAUUACAAUUUGCUUACAGAUUUAUCUUUAAAAAGAUUCUCCUAGUUGAAAUUACCUGUAUAAUGUCUACCUAUAUCUCUAUAACAGUCAGUAUUGACUUUUAUAAUUUUAAAAUAUUUUGCCAUUUUCAUUCAUGUCAUGUAAAACUUGAUAGUUGUUUUAUUUUUCACUUAUCUAAGUACUUGUCAAUUUAUCUUUCUUUUUAAGAGGUGAUUUUCAAAAAAAUAUUCUUUUGUAAAUUCCUUACAUAUAGUAUGAUCAUGACCACUUGUAUUUUUGGAAGUUGGGUCUUGCUUUCAAUAUUUUUACAAUUAAAAUUCAUUUUAGA